Molecule: ribosomal RNA, 433 nt
Filed under: uncultured bacterium
Lineage: Bacteria
Description: partial 16S ribosomal RNA
Rfam family: Bacterial small subunit ribosomal RNA
Source: RNAcentral
AACGAACGCUGGCGGCAUGCCUAACACAUGCAAGUCGAACGAGACCUUCGUGUCUAGUUGCGCACGGGGGCGUAACGCGUGGGAACCUGCACUUAGGUUCGGAAUAACUCCCCUAAAGGGGUGCUAAUGCCGGAUAAUGUCUUCUGACCAAGGAUUUAACGCCUUUGUGUGGGCCCGCGUUGGUUUCGCUGGUUGGUAGGGUAAAAGCCUACCAAGGCGACGAUCCAUAGCGGGUAUGAGAGGAUGAUCCGCCACACUUGGGCGGGGACACGGCCCAGACUUCUACGGGAGGCAGCAGUGGGGAAUAUUGGAAAAUGGGGGGAAGCCUGAUCCAGCAAUGCCGGGUGAGUGAUGAAGGGCUUAGGGUUGUAAAGCUCUUUUAACCCGGGUGAUAAUGACAGUACCGGGAGAAUAAGCUCCGGCUAACUCCGUG